GAUGAACGCUGGCGGCGUGCCUAAUACAUGCAAGUCGAGCGAACAGACGAGGAGCUUGCUCCUCUGAUGUUAGCGGCGGACGGGUGAGUAACACGUGGAUAACCUACCUAUAAGACUGGGAUAACUUCGGGAAACCGGAGCUAAUACCGGAUAACAUGUUGAACCGCAUGGUUCAACAGUGAAAGACGGUCUUGCUGUCACUUAUAGAUGGAUCCGCGCCGCAUUAGCUAGUUGGUAAGGUAACGGCUUACCAAGGCAACGAUGCGUAGCCGACCUGAGAGGGUGAUCGGCCACACUGGAACUGAGACACGGUCCAGAUUCCUACGGGAGGCAGCAGUAGGGAAUCUUCCGCAAUGGGCGAAAGCCUGACGGAGCAACGCCGCGUGAGUGAAGAAGGUCUUCGGAUCGUAAAACUCUGUUAUUAGGGAAGAACAAAUGUGUAAGUAACUAUGCACGUCUUGACGGUACCUAAUCAGAAAGCCACGGCUAACUACGUG
This 497-nucleotide ribosomal RNA is filed under the name uncultured bacterium. RNAcentral describes it as "partial 16S ribosomal RNA". It matches the Rfam family "Bacterial small subunit ribosomal RNA", at positions 28 to 507 of the family's 1533-position model. The record is from RNAcentral.